Cucumis melo (muskmelon) is the source of this 1556-nucleotide long non-coding RNA. RefSeq lists it as uncharacterized. The record is from RefSeq and is a predicted model, not a curated record. The transcript has 2 exons. NCBI's taxonomy places the organism in Eukaryota, Viridiplantae, Streptophyta, Magnoliopsida, Cucurbitales, Cucurbitaceae.
UUCCCUCAUUUUCUCUCUCCAAACCCUUCAAUCUCUCUAUCUCCAUCUCUAUCUCCACAUCUCUUUCCUUUACCUUACCUUACCCAGCCGUGAUCGCCCAAGACGUUGACGACCGCCGCGAAGUCCAAAACCCACGUCGAAAACCCAGCCGACGUCCCAGCCGAUCGCUACGAAGUCCAAAACCCAACUGACGACCGUCGAAGACCACGCCGCCCGAAAACCCCCGCCGUGUGAAGACCCCCGCCGCCAAAGACCACGCCGCCUGAACACCCACCCGCCCAAACAUGCCCGCCGCCCGAACACGUCCGCCGCCCGAACACGCCCACUGCUCGAACACGCCUGCCGCGCGAAGACCCGCGCCGACGACCCGCGUCACGUUUUCAACCGUCGUUAUCUUGCAGCAACUUUUCGGUCACCAAUCAGCAAGGUUUCGAGCCUUUUCGGUAAGAGUCGAUGCUGAGGGAACUGAAUUGUGGACAUGCAUGUGUUCAACUGAUGGCUUCCCAAAAGUUAUAGCCGAUAACCGUGAUUCCAACUGUUUUACGUCAUGCAACUGCACUUAUGAUAUACAUCAAUCUUUUAACUUUGUUGUUUGAUUAUUUUUAGUCCAUGUGUAUCUUAACAGUUUCACAAUUUGCCAUUAAUCACCAAGAAAGGGUAGAACCAAUUUUAUAAAUGCAAUUGAGUUUAUGUGUAUGGAUAUAUACUAUUUUUCGUAAUUGAUAUAAAUAGCAAAGAUCAUUUAAUAAUUUCGUCAACUAUUGAAUCCCAUUUAGAUUGUUGUCUGAAUUAUUAUUGAUAUUAUUAUUGAAUUCUACUCAAGAACAUUCCUUCAAAAAUUUAACUUGUUCAUUUUGUUUUAUACUGCUUUUGAUACUUGCCUGGGCAUCCAUUGCAAUUUCGUCGUUGUCACUUCUUUAUUGUUUAAUUUUGAAAUUUGGCAGCUAUUUAGGCUUCUCAGCUUUGGAUUUGAUUGUGGAUUAGUUAUGUUUUAUCUUAGUAUAUUGCACUAAUUCUAUAUUCGAUCUGAAUAUUAAUUUCACUUAAAUUGUUGAAGAUAAUGAUAUCUCAUGGCUUAUGUUGGUUUUAUCAAAAUUUCCUUAAAAUGAUUUAUGUGUUGUUGACUUAGUUAUAUCCAACACUUCGGAAAAUACAGUAGCGUAUUUGAAUUCCUUCACUCUUCUCUUAACAUUUCGCUCACCCCUUGUUAUUCUCUGGCUCUUCUCUUUUUUCAUAUCCUUAAUAUUUAUUUGAAUUUAUUAGAUAGAUAAUCCUUUAAAAAUAUUAAUUAAUUCUAUUAUAGAUUAUUCUUCCUAUAUAGUAGAGAAAAAUCUGUUAAUAUUCUUUGACCUAUUUUAAAUGAAUAUUUAUUUAUAAAUUGUAUUCCCGUUAUAUAACAAUGUAAUAUCUUUCAUUUUCAACCGGGAUAUAUCUUUGAAAUUUUUUCCAACCUUAAAUUGGUUUCAACCUCGAUUUUGGGUAAGAUAAUUUAGGAGAAUUUUUUGAUGAUAGCCAAUUGUUAAUUUUAUUAAUGAAGAUACUGGAAUUUUCUUUUA